UGAGUUGUAGCUCAGUAGUAGAGCACUUGCCUGGCAUGUGUGAGGCACUGGGUUUGAUCCCCAACACCACAU
Molecule: non-coding RNA, 72 nt
Organism: Ictidomys tridecemlineatus (thirteen-lined ground squirrel)
Lineage: Eukaryota; Metazoa; Chordata; Mammalia; Rodentia; Sciuridae
Source: Rfam